GAUGAACGCUGGCGGCGUGCCUAAUACAUGCAAGUCGAGCGAACGGACGAGAAGCUUGCUUCUCUGAUGUUAGCGGCGGACGGGUGAGUAACACGUGGAUAACCUACCUAUAAGACUGGGAUAACUUCGGGAAACCGUAGCUAAUACCGGAUAAUAUUUUGAACCGCAUGGUUCAAAAGUGAAAGACGGUCUUGCUGUCACUUAUAGAUGGAUCCGCGCUGCAUUAGCUAGUUGGUAAGGUAACGGCUUACCAAGGCAACGAUGCAUAGCCGACCUGAGAGGGGGAUCGGCCACACUGGAACUGAGACACGGUCCAGACUCCUAAGGGAGGCAGCAGUAGGGAAUCUUCCGCAAUGGGCGAAAGCCUGACGGAGCAACGCCGCGUGAGUGAUGAAGGUCUUCGGAUCGUAAAACUCUGUUAUUAGGGAAGAACAUAUGUGUAAGUAACUGUGCACAUCUUGACGGUACCUAAUCAGAAAGCCACGGCUAACUACGUG
Molecule: ribosomal RNA, 497 nt
Filed under: uncultured bacterium
Lineage: Bacteria
Description: partial 16S ribosomal RNA
Rfam family: Bacterial small subunit ribosomal RNA
Source: RNAcentral